GGCCUCGUGGCCCAAUGGCAAGGCGUCUGACUACGAGACAGAGUCAAUCAAGCAACGAUUGACUCUUCAAGAUAAUCAGGAGAUUCUGGGUUCGACCCCCAGCGAGGUCA
This 110-nucleotide transfer RNA is filed under the name Xylaria curta. RNAcentral describes it as "tRNA-Arg". It matches the Rfam family "tRNA". Rfam says of the family: Transfer RNA (tRNA) molecules are approximately 80 nucleotides in length. The record is from RNAcentral. Lineage: Eukaryota; Fungi; Ascomycota; Sordariomycetes; Xylariales; Xylariaceae.